GCGUCCGGUUUCAUCCCGGAUUGUUGGCAAUCCCUGCACUCCGAAGGCAGAGGUCACAGGUUCGAAUCCUGUCGGGUGCGCCA
This 83-nucleotide transfer RNA is filed under the name Sphingomonadales bacterium. Its description in RNAcentral is "tRNA-OTHER". Lineage: Bacteria; Pseudomonadati; Pseudomonadota; Alphaproteobacteria; Sphingomonadales. The record is from RNAcentral.